UUUCCUUUUAGUACGGCGAGUGACCGGGAAAGCUCAAAUUUGUAAUCUGGCUGUCUUCGAUAGAUCCGAGUUGUAAUCUAUAGACGUGUUUUCCGUGCUGGACCGUAUCUAAGUCCCUUGGAACAGGGUAUCAAAGAGGGUGACAAUCCCGUGCUUGAUACGACCACCAGUGCUCUGUGAUACACGCUCUACGAGUCGAGUUGUUUGGGAAUGCAGCUCAAAAUGGGUGGUAAAUUCCAUCUAAAGCUAAAUAUUGGCGAGAGACCGAUAGCGAACAAGUACCGUGAGGGAAAGAUGAAAAGCACUUUGGAAAGAGAGUUAAACAGUACGUGAAAUUGUUGAAAGGGAAACGAUUGAAGUCAGUCGUGUUCUUUGGAUUCAGCUAGUUCUUCUAGUCUACUUCCAUUGAACGGGUCAACAUCAGUUU
This 427-nucleotide ribosomal RNA is filed under the name Cutaneotrichosporon dermatis. RNAcentral describes it as "eukaryotic LSU rRNA". It matches the Rfam family "Eukaryotic large subunit ribosomal RNA", at positions 73 to 508 of the family's 3401-position model. The record is from RNAcentral. Lineage: Eukaryota; Fungi; Basidiomycota; Tremellomycetes; Trichosporonales; Trichosporonaceae.